GCAUAUCAAUAAGCGGAGGAAAAGAAACCCAACAGGGAUUGCCCUAGUAACGGCGAGUGAAGCGGCAACAGCUCAAAUUUGAAAUCUGGCGUCUUUGGCGUCCGAGUUGUAAUUUGCAGAGGGCGCUUUGGCAUUGGCAGCGGUCCAAGUUCCUUGGAACAGGACGUCACAGAGGGUGAGAAUCCCGUACGUGGUCGCUAGCCUUUACCGUGUAAAGCCCCUUCGACGAGUCGAGUUGUUUGGGAAUGCAGCUCUAAAUGGGAGGUAAAUUUCUUCUAAAGCUAAAUACUGGCCAGAGACCGAUAGCGCACAAGUAGAGUGAUCGAAAGAUGAAAAGCACUUUGGAAAGAGAGUUAAAAAGCACGUGAAAUUGUUGAAAGGGAAGCGCUUGCAGCCAGACUUGCCUGUAGUUGCUCAUCCGGGUUUUUACCCGGUGCACUCUUCUAUAGGCAGGCCAGCAUCAGUUUGGGCGGUUGGAUAAAGGUCUCUGUCAUGUACCUCUCUUCGGGGAGAACUUAUAGGGGAGACGACAUGCAACCAGCCCGGACUGAGGUCCGCGCAUCUGCUAGGAUGCUGGCGUAAUGGCUGUAAGCGGCCCGUCUUGAAACACGGACCAAGGAGUCUAACAUCUAUGCGAGUGUUUGGGUGUCAAGCCCGAACGCGUAAUGAAAGUGAACGGAGGUGGGAACCUUUCGGGGUGCACCAUCGACCGAUCCUGAUGUCUUCGGAUGGAUUUGAGUAAGAGCAUAGCUGUUGGGACCCGAAAGAUGGUGAACUAUGCUUGAAUAGGGUGAAGCCAGAGGAAACUCUGGUGGAGGCUCGCAGCGGUUCUGACGUGCAAAUCGAUCGUCAAAUUUGGGCAUAGGGGCGAAAGACUAAUCGAACUAUCUAGUAGCUGGUUCUGCGAG
This 908-nucleotide ribosomal RNA is filed under the name Macroventuria wentii. RNAcentral describes it as "LSU rRNA". It matches the Rfam family "Eukaryotic large subunit ribosomal RNA", at positions 38 to 963 of the family's 3401-position model. Lineage: Eukaryota; Fungi; Ascomycota; Dothideomycetes; Pleosporales; Didymellaceae. The record is from RNAcentral.